RNAcentral lists this unclassified non-coding RNA (320 nucleotides) under Hevea brasiliensis (rubber tree). Lineage: Eukaryota; Viridiplantae; Streptophyta; Magnoliopsida; Malpighiales; Euphorbiaceae. The record is from RNAcentral.
AGUGCUGUUUGGCAUGUGAGUACUCAAUCAUUUAUUUUGUUCUGUAUUUGCUUCUAUCAUCUCUUGUUUAUUUCAUAUCUUGGUUUAGAUUCUAUAAUACAAUUGCCAAAGCAUGUAGUCUUCUGUCAAGCUUACUUGGGAAAUAUGUGUAUACAGUGGUUCACUAAUAACCGUGCAUGAAUGUUAUCCUGGCAAAUUAUUUCAGUAAUAGGCAUGUAUGAUUUCUAGGUUUCAUGUUGAACCCCCUCCCCCCACCUCCCAUUCUUUCCUGAAGUUUUACACCAUUAACAUUGAUCUUAACUUUAUUUUUUUUUUUUUAG